AUCAUUUCUUGGCCUUUUGGCUAAGAUCAAGUGUUAGUAUCACCACACAUUUCGGUAUCAUUGCACAGCCCUUUAAACUGUGAAAUGUGAAGAACCUUGUGUUUUUAUCAUUCUUCUCUGCCCCAAAGCAUAACCUUUUGGGUCCAAAGAUCAGUAU
Molecule: small nuclear RNA, 157 nt
Organism: Heterocephalus glaber (naked mole-rat)
Lineage: Eukaryota; Metazoa; Chordata; Mammalia; Rodentia; Bathyergidae
Gene: U2
Rfam family: U2 spliceosomal RNA
About the family: U2 is a small nuclear RNA (snRNA) component of the spliceosome (involved in pre-mRNA splicing).
Source: Ensembl